CCUACGGGAGGCUGCAGUGGGGAAUAUUGCACAAUGGGCGCAAGCCUGAUGCAGCCAUGCCGCGUGUGUGAAGAAGGCCUUCGGGUUGUAAAGCACUUUCAGCGGGGAGGAAGGCGUUAAGGUUAAUAACCUUGUCGAUUGACGUCACCCGCAGAAGAAGCACCGGCUAACUCCGUGCCAGCAGCCGCGGUAAUACGGAGGGUGCAAGCGUUAAUCGGAAUUACUGGGCGUAAAGCGCACGCAGGCGGUCUGUCAAGUCGGAUGUGAAAUCCCCGGGCUCAACCUGGGAACUGCAUUCGAAACUGGCAGGCUAGAGUCUUGUAGAGGGGGGUAGAAUUCCAGGUGUAGCGGUGAAAUGCGUAGAGAUCUGGAGGAAUACCGGUGGCGAAGGCGGCCCCCUGGACAAAGACUGACGCUCAGGUGCGAAAGCGUGGGGAGCAAACAGGAUUAGAUACCCUAGUAGUC
This 465-nucleotide ribosomal RNA is filed under the name uncultured Klebsiella sp. RNAcentral's name for it is "bacterial SSU rRNA". It matches the Rfam family "Bacterial small subunit ribosomal RNA", at positions 338 to 795 of the family's 1533-position model. The record is from RNAcentral. Lineage: Bacteria; Pseudomonadati; Pseudomonadota; Gammaproteobacteria; Enterobacterales; Enterobacteriaceae.